RNAcentral lists this ribosomal RNA (516 nucleotides) under uncultured bacterium. RNAcentral's name for it is "bacterial SSU rRNA". It matches the Rfam family "Bacterial small subunit ribosomal RNA", at positions 992 to 1509 of the family's 1533-position model. The record is from RNAcentral.
AGAACUUAGCAGAGAUGCUUUGGUGCCUUCGGGAACUCUGAGACAGGUGCUGCAUGGCUGUCGUCAGCUCGUGUUGUGAAAUGUUGGGUUAAGUCCCGCAACGAGCGCAACCCUUAUCCUUGUUGCCAGCGGUCCGGCCGGGAACUCAAAGGAGACUGCCAGUGAUAAACUGGAGGAAGGUGGGGAUGACGUCAAGUCAUCAUGGCCCUUACGAGUAGGGCUACACACGUGCUACAAUGGCGCAUACAAAGAGAAGCGACCUCGCGAGAGCAAGCGGACCUCAUAAAGUGCGUCGUAGUCCGGAUUGGAGUCUGCAACUCGACUCCAUGAAGUCGGAAUCGCUAGUAAUCGUAGAUCAGAAUGCUACGGUGAAUACGUUCCCGGGCCUUGUACACACCGCCCGUCACACCAUGGGAGUGGGUUGCAAAAGAAGUAGGUAGCUUAACCUUCGGGAGGGCGCUUACCACUUUGUGAUUCAUGACUGGGGUGAAGUCGUAACAAGGUAAGCGUAGCGAG